UUGGUUUUACGUUAAAAAUGUAUAAUGUAAAAAUCUGGACGAAUGCAGCUAAGGAGGUUCUAGUUUUUUUAUUUUCAAAGGUUUAAUAAUUGGGAAAUUUACCUGGUAGAUACGUCCGAAUCAUGUAAAUGUGUGUGUGUAAAUUAAUAUUUGUGUAUACGUGUAUAGAGGUACAGUUACAAGUUCUAUUAGAUUCAAUACAUAUUAUGUAUUAUUGAUUAUUGUUUGGCUUGCAUGGGUGCCUACAUAUAACUAUAUGAACGGUGAACAAUAUAAUAUUUAAUCAAUCUUGGUCAACUUGGCAAAUAUUCCAACUUUAAACUGCAGGCAUUUACAGUUCUAAACAGGUAUGGCCAAGAUUUGUACGGAUUUUAAAAUAUAAAAUUCCAUAUUUGUUGACUUUUAAAUUUUAAGUUUUUACGAAUUCCCCUCUCUGAACCAAAAUUAGUAAAAAAAAUGAACUAAAACAGUCUUUCUAAUUGAUAGUGAAAUGAACACAGAGAAGUCAAGUGUUCCAACCUUAUUUUUUAAGUCUCAAAUAUCAUUGUCUCUAUUGGUAUCUAAACACCUUUAUUUGUUUUUUUUUUGACCAAAUUAUAAAGACUUUGUUAUUGCCAUUUUGGUUAUGGAAUCUUAAUAAAUUGGAUCAUUU
Molecule: non-coding RNA, 652 nt
Organism: Cinara cedri
Lineage: Eukaryota; Metazoa; Arthropoda; Insecta; Hemiptera; Aphididae
Source: the annotation of a GenBank genome assembly